AGCCUAGUGGCGGCCGGCUGAGUAACGCGUAGGUGACUUGCCCGGAAGUGGGGAAUAACGAUUCGAAAGAAUCGUUAAUACCGCAUACGAUUGUGGGCAUAGACACGUGCAAUCAAAGCCCGCAAGGGCGCUAUCGGAGAGGCCUGCGUCCGAUUAGCUAGUUGGUGGGGUAACGGCCUACCAAGGCGACGAUCGGUAGCUGAUCUGAGAGGAUGAUCAGCCAGACUGGGACUGAGACACGGCCCAGACUCCUACGGGAGGCAGCAGUUAGGAAUUUUGCACAAUGGGGGAAACCCUGAUGCAGCAACGCCGCGUGGAUGAUGAAGGCCUUCGGGUCGUAAAAUCCUUUUCAACGGGAAGAUACGGACGGUACCGUUGGAAUAAGCUUCGGCUAACUACGUGCCAGCAGCCGCGGUAAUACGUAGGAAGCGAGCGUUAUCCGGAUUUACUGGGCGUAAAGAGCGCGUAGGUGGUUCCCUAAGUUGGACGUGAAAGCCCCCGGCUUAACUGGGGAGGGUCGUUUCAAUACUGUGGAACUUGAGGGUGGAAGAGGAAACUGGAAUUCCCGGUGUAGUGGUGAAAUGCCUAGAUAUCGGGAGGACCCCUGUGGCCAAAGCCAGUUUUCUGGGCCCCUUUCUGACCCUGAGGCCCCGAAAGCGUGGGGAGCGAACCGGAAUUAAGAUACUUCCGGUAGUCCCCNCCCCUAAAACCAUGGGNNNNCNNGGGUGUGGUGGGGUAUCCGACCCCC
Molecule: ribosomal RNA, 748 nt
Filed under: uncultured bacterium
Lineage: Bacteria
Description: bacterial SSU rRNA
Rfam family: Bacterial small subunit ribosomal RNA
Source: RNAcentral